Symphalangus syndactylus (siamang) is the source of this 1094-nucleotide long non-coding RNA. RefSeq lists it as uncharacterized. NCBI's taxonomy places the organism in Eukaryota, Metazoa, Chordata, Mammalia, Primates, Hylobatidae. The record is from RefSeq and is a predicted model, not a curated record.
AGGUUUCGGGCCAAAAAGCUGAAAUAAAGAACGAAGUCAAUAAUAAUAUGGAGUGUAUGAGAAAUAACUGGAAAAUUCAUCAUCCAUGGCUUGAAGAAAUUGACAUUUUACGAGUUAUAUUUUCGACACUGUUCUGGUUAUGAUGGACACCACAAUGAAAGAGACCUGGUCCCUGUCUUGAGGAAACCCAGCUGCUGGUAGAGAGCUCAGAGUAAUGAUUAGGAUGCAAUAUGAGGGAUGCAGUAAUUGGGGUGUUUGGAACUUCCUCCUUUGUUUGUCUCUCCCUGCUGCCUUGUAAAGAAGUUGCCUUUUUCCCCUUCCACCAUGAUUGUCAUGCUACUGGCCCCGCCCAGUUAUGUAACAACUUGCAUUUCCUCAAUUCUCUGGAAUGUGGCCAGUCAGGAACUUCCACAUUUGCUUUUUUUUUUCCCCCCAUUUGUGGGUAAGAAAGUAAAAGAGGCAGAAAAACUAAAUUGAGAAAGAAGAAAGAAUAGGGGAAGAGAGAAAGAAAAAAGAAAACCAUGAAGUCUAGAAGGGGAGAAAGAAGAGAUAGAUGAGCAAAGAAGCACAUUGCCUGGUGGUAGUAAUAGUUGUCAGACACCCAUCUAUUAUAAUCUGUUUUCCAUGGGAGAUUUUAGGAAGAGGCAAGAUCCCCAAUCUGUCUUAAAAUCAAGAAAAGGGACCCUGUUACCUCUAAAGUAUACUUCCAGACUCAGCAAUCUCUAAAUUCUGAGUGGGCAUCCCUAGUUUUGCUGCCUAAAAUCUACGACAGCUGGAAAUGAUUCCAUUUAAGAUCCAGUUCAAGAAGCUACACACCCUGAGGAACUUUAUGUUGCCAUUUAAAGGACCGAUAUUCUUCAGAUUGCUUGAGCCCAGGAGUUCGAGACCAGCCUGGCAACAUGGCAAAACUCCAUCUCUACCAAAAAAAAAACAAAACUAGCUGGGCAUGGUGGUACACAUCUGUAGAACUAGCUACUCUGGAGGCUGAGGUGAGAGAACCCCUUGAGCCUAGGAGAUGGAGGUUGCUGUGAGCUAAGACUGUGCCACUGCACUCAAGCCUGGGCGACAGAGCCAGACCCUAUAUCAUAAAUAAA